UACAGAGGUGGCAAGCGUUGUUCGGAAUUACUGGGCGUAAAGGGCGCGUAGGCGGUUCGUUAAGUCCUGUGUGAAAUCCCCCGGCUCAACUGGGGAACUGCACAGGAAACUAGCGGGCUUGAAUUCGGGAGAGGGAUGCGGAAUUCCAGGUGUAGCGGUGAAAUGCGUAGAUAUCUGGAGGAACACCGGUGGCGAAGGCGGCAUCCUGGACCGAGAUUGACGCUGAGGCGCGAAAGCCAGGGGAGCAAACGGG
RNAcentral lists this ribosomal RNA (253 nucleotides) under uncultured bacterium. RNAcentral describes it as "partial 16S ribosomal RNA". It matches the Rfam family "Bacterial small subunit ribosomal RNA", at positions 524 to 776 of the family's 1533-position model. The record is from RNAcentral.